This 253-nucleotide ribosomal RNA is filed under the name uncultured bacterium. RNAcentral's name for it is "partial 16S ribosomal RNA". It matches the Rfam family "Bacterial small subunit ribosomal RNA", at positions 524 to 776 of the family's 1533-position model. The record is from RNAcentral.
AACGUAGGACACAAGCGUUGUCCAGAGUUACUGGGCGUAAAGCGCGCGCAGGCGGCGGUGUUGGCCCGGCGUGAAAGCCCCCGGCUCAACCGGGGAGAGUCGUCGGGGACCGCACCGCUUGAGGGCGGUAGGGGCUGGUGGAAUGCCUGGUGUAGUGGUGAAAUGCGUAGAGAUCAGGCAGAACACCUGGGGCGAAGGCGGCCAGCUGGGCCGUCCCUGACGCUGAGGCGCGAAGGCGUGGGGAGCGAACGGG